AGUGAACGCUGGCGGUAGGCCUAACACAUGCAAGUCGAACGGCAGCACAGGAGAGCUUGCUCUCUGGGUGGCGAGUGGCGGACGGGUGAGGAAUACAUCGGAAUCUACUUUUUCGUGGGGGAUAACGUAGGGAAACUUACGCUAAUACCGCAUACGACCUACGGGUGAAAGCAGGGGACCUUCGGGCCUUGCGCGAUGGAAUGAGCCGAUGUCGGAUUAGCUAGUUGGCGGGGUAGAGGCCCACCAAGGCGACGAUCCGUAGCUGGCCUGAGAGGAUGAUCAGCCACACUGGAACUGAGACACGGUCCAGACUCCUACGGGAGGCAGCAGUGGGGAAUAUUGGACAAUGGGCGCAAGCCUGAUCCAGCCAUACCGCGUGGGUGAAGAAGGCCUUCGGGUUGUAAAGCCCUUUUGUUGGGAAAGAAAUCCAGCUGGCUAAUACCCGGUUGGGAUGACGGUACCCAAAGAAUAAGCACCGGCUAACUUCGUGCCAGCCGCCGCCGUAA
RNAcentral lists this ribosomal RNA (506 nucleotides) under uncultured bacterium. RNAcentral's name for it is "partial 16S ribosomal RNA". It matches the Rfam family "Bacterial small subunit ribosomal RNA", at positions 29 to 523 of the family's 1533-position model. The record is from RNAcentral.